GGAGUCUGGUCCGUGUCUCAGUACCAGUGUGGGGGACCUUCCUCUCAGAACCCCUACUGAUCGUAGCCUUGGUGGGCCGUUACCCCGCCAACAAGCUAAUCAGACGCAUCCCCAUCCCAUACCGACGAGUCUUUGUUCCUCAUAAGAUGCCCAACAAGGAAAACAUAGAGUAUUAAUCCGACUUUCGCCGGGCUAUCCCCACGUAUGAGGCAGGUUGCCCACGCGUUACUCACCCGUCCGCCACUAAGAUUAAACAAGAUUUGACCGAAGUCUCCUCAGCGUCUAAUCUCCGUUCGACUUGCAUGUGUUAGGCACGCCGCCAGCGUUCAUC
This 331-nucleotide ribosomal RNA is filed under the name uncultured Prevotella sp. RNAcentral describes it as "partial 16S ribosomal RNA". The record is from RNAcentral. Lineage: Bacteria; Pseudomonadati; Bacteroidota; Bacteroidia; Bacteroidales; Prevotellaceae.